UAUAAUGUUCAUUUUAUAGGAUGAAAGUUAAAGCUCAGAGAGGUUAAGGUUCAUGUCACACAGCAGGUAAGCAGUGAGGCUGGGAUUUGAAGCCAGGAGUCCUUUCCCAGCCCUCCACCAUUCCAGGCUGUGUGGGAAAACACCACUGGCUCGUCAGAUGGCUUCCUGGCCAGCAAGUCCCUAGGAACAAAUGUCAGAGAGAGUCUGGCACAGGUGGGUCAUGUGUGUGACCUCAUAUAGCAUUUCUCAUGUUCCUCUGUCUCAUAUUACUGUCAUAUCAUAAAUAGAGGCAGGAUGACUCUUCCUUUCCAUCCACCCACCCUGGAGCCACCCUCACCUGACAUCCCACCAGAGCUUCCCCCAGAUCAGCCCUCUGUUUCUCAUUUCAUUACCUGAAAGGGCUUGGCAUUGGCCCCACACUGGGAGAUGAUCCCAUAGAUACAGCAAGCAUCUACUCCAAGUGAAGAAGCCAUGAGCAAGUGGAGACAGCUACGGGAAAGGUCACACAGGCUACGAGAGAAGGGAGCCUCUAGGCCUCAGGAAACAUAAAUCUGCACGGAUGGUCUGGUAAUUGCUCCAAGGAGCAAGUUAGUGGGGAAAGCUCCAGGGGCCCAGGUCUGGGUUCCCACAGCCAUCUGACUGUGGGAACAUUCUAUGAAACUGGAGCAAAUUGACUGCAGAGGGUCAAUGGCUCGAACACCCAGCCUCCUGGAACACAGCCAUGCAUCUUGAUCUGGAGGGGUUCCUGCUUGGAGGGGCUCAGGCAGGGCUCCUCACAUCUGCAGAUGCUCAGCUGGAAGGCAGUCUGGGGCUCCAGCCUUUUAGAAGCUGAGUCUGGGGUGCCAGGGAGGAUAAAGAAAGAAACAAUUGGAGAGAUUCUUGCUCUAUGUGUCUUUCCUUCCCCAUGGCCUGGAGUCCCAUAUUCUGAAAUAGUGCCAUAACGGAGAAGGGAACACAGCACUGGAUGGCAGUCAGGAGGCUGUCCUGAUCCCAGUUCCCACUCUACUUUGACACUGGGCAAAUCCCUUCACCUCUCUGGGCCUCUCUUUUCUGCUGCAUAAAAUGGGAAUGCUGUUAACCUGUCAUAGAUGCCUCAGGAAUGGAAGAUGAUCC
This 1113-nucleotide long non-coding RNA is filed under the name Equus caballus (horse). RNAcentral's name for it is "lncRNA (ENSECAG00000044410.1)". Lineage: Eukaryota; Metazoa; Chordata; Mammalia; Perissodactyla; Equidae. The record is from RNAcentral.